AGAGCGAACGCUGGCGGCAUGCUUAACACAUGCAAGUCGCACGGUCAGCAAUGGCAGUGGCGGACGGGUGAGUAACACGUAGGAAUCUAUCCUGGGGUGGGGGACAACAGUGGGAAACUACUGCUAAUACCGCAUGAUACCUGAGGGUCAAAGGCGCAAGUCGCCUUGGGAGGAGCCUGCGUCUGAUUAGCUUGUUGGUGGGGUAAAGGCCUACCAAGGCUACGAUCAGUAGCUGGUCUGAGAGGAUGAUCAGCCACAUUGGGACUGAGACACGGCCCAAACUCCUACGGGAGGCAGCAGUGGGGAAUAUUGGACAAUGGGGGAAACCCUGAUCCAGCAAUGCCGCGUGUGUGAAGAAGGUCUUCGGAUUGUAAAGCACUUUUGGCAGGGACGAUGAUGACGGUACCUGCAGAAUAAGCCCCGGCUAACUUCGCACCAGCAGCCGC
Molecule: ribosomal RNA, 446 nt
Filed under: uncultured bacterium
Lineage: Bacteria
Description: SSU rRNA
Rfam family: Bacterial small subunit ribosomal RNA
Source: RNAcentral